AUGCUGAUUCUUUCUCGGGGUUCGUUAGAUCUGUAACUUCUGAAUGACAUUACGCAGAAUUCGAUCCAGGUUUCAUAUUUCGUUCGUUCAGGAAAUGCUCCUACAGUCAUGGUGUUUUUUCUUCAGAUUUCUGUCCCUACAAUCUGAUAUCUUAAAUCAGUUAUUUUGCUUAGGUCCUUGGAAAAAUAAACGCUGUCUUAGGUUCGUUACCCCUGUUUAAAGUUUGUUUGCUUUGAUGCUUGCUAGAUAUGCAUCGUCGUAUUACUCUUGGCGUCCUUAUUUGUUCUUAAUAUCACCGAAGUACCUGCACUGUUUACGUUUCAUGAAUUGCUUACUGGUUUUGCAAUUUGUAUGGUUACAGCAGGCUAGCACUGCACCUAAGUAUCAGUAGUUCAGUAUUCACAUAAGCUAACUUACUGUUGUAGAAGGCUUCAACUAAUAGUAGCAUGAACAACCUAGGUCUAGCCAGAGUUGUGCUGUGAAAAGUAUUACGUACAAAUGAUAUGUUCAGAGUCUUAGCUUCACCUCAGCGUCAGUAAUUCAUUAUUCACCUGAGUCUACUUGUACGGUUGUAGCAAGCUUCACUAAAUCCAGUUUCAUGAACAAUCAAUUCUACGUAGUCUUGUGCUGUGAGCCUGACAAGCGAUUAUAUGCAAAUGAUCGAUGAACGCCGCGGUGUCUCCUUCUGCCGAUUCGUCCUCUGUGGGUUCCGCAUUGUCAGCGCCCUCUUGACUUUUCAUCCCCUCCCGCGGACCCUGGUCCUCGAUUGCACGUUCCCCACAGAUCUCGCGCUUGCCGUCGGGGCUCACCUUGCAGCGCCUCCAUCCUCCCUCUCCACCGUCACCUCUCUCUACCGACGAGCAUCCGUCCACCCAGAUGAGCGCUCUCACCCGCCGCCCUUGCCACCGCCUAUCUCCGCCCGUCCGCCACCCACAUCCUGCCCUGCCUACCCCAUCGCAUCCCUACCAAUCCCACCGACUACCAGCCGCCGCGAACCACAACGACCGGUGGUGGUAGCGCAACACGAACAACACCUGCCGUAGCGGCGGCAUCAGAUAGUGCAAGGGAAGCUCCCCGAGCGACGGGAUCCUCCUCAACCGUGGUCAGAUCAGCCUCACAUUACGGGAUCGACCUCCCCUAAGCCAGGUACUCAACCAUAGCAAACGUGAUUUGUUAGUAGCUCCCGCUGACUGCAUGCUGGCCCUCGCGCAUAACCGACAUCAUCAUGUGCGCUCCUGCAGGUAGCUGCUCUGGCAGGUGUCCGACACCGUGGCUAGGCGUGACAUGCUUCUCACAGAGGACAAGAUGAUGGUGGCAGUCUGGCAUAGGCGGUGCAGCGGGUUCCCUCAUCUAUUUUUUCUCAACUACGCCAAUACCCUAUGAAUCAUCCAUCCGUGAUUACAAGAACAACGUCGUAUGUAUAGCUCGGUGCGCUCACCAAGUUUGUGGAGCCAGCAGUGGCACGCUCCAGGUCUAGAUUGUACUAAUUGUGUGCGCCUGUGUGGAGGGGGGUGGCAGCGAGUCAGGGACGACUCCUAUCAUGUUUACAUGCUCGGUUUCACCUCAUCCCACGCUUAUGAGCAGCUCCUUGCAGCCUGAAACUCACCUAGGUAGAUUACUGAUGAUGGUGACUAGCUACCAGCCAUCUUCCAGGACUUGUGAGGACGUAAGCAAAAAACAUUUGUUUCCUUCGCUCAGGAUUUGCAUAUAGUUGGGUGAAAUAACCAUGAGAUCAACCAGUUGUGAUAGUGCUUACGCCCCUGCUACAAGUGUGAAGAUGCAGAUAUACAACCAUUACUUAAUGUGAUCAUUACUUGUACAGUACUGAUCCAUGGGCAAAUAGAGCACACACAGUAUGUGGUUCAGUGGUUGGUUGCUGACAGUUGUUGUUCAGAAGACUUAGCAUUGCUGAUAGCCCUGAUGGUGCAUUUCCUCUGUUUUUAGUAGUUUUAUGUUGCUAUAUAAUGGUUGUUGAUUACUAACUCCUAUGGGAUCUAUUUCACUCCAGGGUGCUGUCGAUGAAGGAAAAUAACCGAACAGAGGUAAGAUGAGAGCCUUUCGGAAAUGGAUAUACUUUCAAGCUUUAGCUAUUUUAUUGAGUUAAAUGUCAGUCAAGGUCUCUAAUAUAUGUUUGUCAUAAGCCUUCUCAAAAUAGGUUCAUAUAUAGAUGUGCGAUUUUUAAGCUUUCUGGUCGUCUUUGGCAGAUGAUGGCCCAGGUUUUCAUCCAUAACAAGGACUAAAAUAAGUAAAUGGUUAGUUUUAAUGCUACAUUAUUUCCUAUUAUUCAAAAAGAUCAGAUAUGUUCUAACUUAUGUAUUCCUGUAUGGAAGCCAUUUCACAAUAGAUCUAUGUAUUUAUUUUGGCUUCCACUACUAUCAAUUAUACCUGCUAAUUAAAAUACUUUACAGUGAGCUUGAUACCCGCCUCUAUCUUGCCCCCUGCCCCAGCCGCUCCUCCAUCUCGAGGUCCAACUCGCUCUCCAUCUUGCCCCAGCCCCAGCCGCCCCUCCAUCUCUAGGUCCACCCUCCUCCCGAGGCUGAUCCCCGAAGCACAACUCCGCCGUCCUCCUCGAAGCCGGAGAUUAGGAGCCACCACCCAAGCCGCCCCUCCAUCUCGAGGCAGGAGGACCCAGCAACAUCGACUAAAUCGAACAGAUUUGAUCCAUCUGCUCGCCACCUGUGGCUGACGCCUACGAUCAUGGAUGGAUAUGGUGCUCCAUUAGGGAAACAAUUCUUGCCUCUCAAACUUUCAGGUCCGAUAUCUCGAAAAAAUACUCUGUAUAACUUAAUCCCUUGGAACCCUAUCUCGAUGGUGCAAUAUUUUACAUGAUAGAUUUGCAUCAUAUGGAAACGCAUGGUGAUCAAAUCUGAAAAGAAUGCUUGUGUUUACUUCUCUAUAGUUUUUCUUUCACUCCUUAAUCCAUUUACCUCAUAUGAUUUGCAUCAUAUGGCGCUACAUUUUGUGUUAUGGUAUCAUUUUAAGCAAGAAUCUAUUUUUGAGAUUGAUUUGAUUUGCAGAUAACCUUUCUUCACUUAUUUUGAUACCAUGACAUGUUCAUAUGUUCAGUACAGUCUUGCUGAAACAGUGAUGUGAAUAGACAACAUGCCCAUGCUUGAUUUCAUUUUCUUUUCUUAGAACAUCACUGCACACUAUGUCAUUGACACUGAAGAACAUCACUUUAUUUGUAACAUCUCUAAACUUCUUCAUCAAAGAUGUGAAGAGAUUAUGUUCACUUGUGUGGAAGCAGGAGGUCCUGAGGACAAAGGUGGUUGGAGUUGAGGAUUCAAACACCGGAUGGCUUCAGCGGACGUCUCAAGCUGCCCAAGUUCUUGGCAGAUGUGUACGGUCACAUCAGUUCCUCGUCUACUCUCACAACAAUUACUACUGUUUUGCUUUUUUCGUGGAGACUGCUCAAAGCGAUAAUGAAUGUUGAUUAGAGAGUUGUCGUGUGCUGGCCAUUUUUUCAUGCAGCCUCAAUCAUCACUGAAUGCGGCCAAAAACAAACUCUAUUUGCUGCUGCCAUGGUUUAGGAAGAGUAUUUGUCUAUAGAAAGGUUCAGUUUGCGUCGCUUGAAGCUGAUGAAACUAAUUAAUAUCAGCUUUCAAAUGAUACAUGGUCUAUGGCCUUUGGUUCUGAAUAUUCUCCACAUGAUUAGUACUCAGAUGUCUAUUCCAAUAGUUGAUUUUUAUCACGGGGGAUGAUUAGAACAAAGGUUAAGAAUGGUUUGUCUACCUGAAAUAUUCUGUAUAUGUAGCAUACAUGUUAUCUAUACAGCUUUGUACUCAGAUGUCUAUUCAGUUACUUGAUUUAAAGCAUGUCUCUGAUGUUUAGUCUCUCCUCGUGUAUUUUCAGAACAGGCCUUGCUUGAAUGCCCUCCAACUGAAGUACUUUGUGGCAGUUCGAAGCAGUUUGUCCCAUGCGCGCAACCCAAUGCACAUGUCGUCGCUGAUGUCGCCAUGCCAGGGGUGAACGAGUUCCACACGGUUUCUCUUAAAUUUGUGGAAAUUGCGUCUCAAGGAAGGAGAUCGGGAAGCAUGCUGUCAACCAAUUCCUGUCCAGUUGUGUGCAUGGAAGUCCAGUUCCUUUUCCAAAGUGUAAGUUUGCAUUGUUCAUUGGACAAAUCCUAAACUCGUAAUACUACCUCUGGACUAAAUUAAUCAACGCAGCCUCCUUCUAAUGAUGUGCAUGGACAUACCUCCCUCCGCGUCGAUUAAAUCCGACAGGAGGGAGUAGUAUUUAACUUUCUGUAUAAUGGAAAUUAUUCCAAAGGGAGUUAAAAAAUGGGUGCAAGUGAUGAUUUAUGUCUAUUGUGUGCGUCAUAUCCAAGAAAUGCACUCAAAAGUUUAGCUUGAAGUAUAGUUUACCAAUUUCUUGUUUACAAUAAUUCAUUGAAAUUUUUGAUUUAGCUCAAACAAGCACUUGAAGAUAUAUUUUCCUGUAAGUAUAGAUGCUUCUGAGUUCCCCCCUCUUGUCCAGCAGCCAGUGCGCUUGUCCAAAUCUGGCGCUGAGUGCGAAGCUGGUUCGAUGAGCUAUGGUGUGAGGAGCAUAACCAAUAGAGACGCUGAAGGAGCUUGGCGGUCGCAAUCACAACCAAAGAAGGCUAUGACAACGACGACACAUCUGGCGACACUCAGAGUGAGACGAUGUGAUCUGAGUGUUUUAAGAGCUAGAUCGUAAGAAAUUACCUCUGCUUAGGAAGUAUUCCCGUAUCAAUAAUUUACCGAUGCUCUAUGUAUCAUUGAACAGGUUUAAUCUAGACUUAUGCUAGCAUCGCCCGAAGCUGCCAAUGAUGAUGAUUAUGAUAUAGUUUUUGGGGUCAUUGGAUCAUGAGUGGUGAUGAUCCACUAUUGACAUAGUGCAGUUGCAAAGUUUAGGUGUAUAUUUCCUGAGACAUGAUCCUUUCCUUUUGUUGCUUACUUGUCGAGAUGUAAGUGUUUGGUUCAUAUAUCAUUGAUCCUUUGUUUUUUCGGGAGACAUGAUUAAUGCUUAGCUGACCACAUUUUUGUUCA
Lolium rigidum is the source of this 5009-nucleotide RNA transcript. RefSeq lists it as uncharacterized. The record is from RefSeq and is a predicted model, not a curated record. The transcript has 3 exons. Lineage: Eukaryota; Viridiplantae; Streptophyta; Magnoliopsida; Poales; Poaceae.